GACGAACGCUGGCGGCGUGCUUAACACAUGCAAGUCGAACGGAAAGGCCCUGCUUUUGUGGGGUGCUCGUGGGGAGAAGGGGGGAGUAACACGUGAGUAACGCGCCCUUCACUGUGAGAUAACUUCAGGAAAGAGGGGCUAAUAGCAGAUAAGAGCUCCUGCCGUGAGGUGGGGGUGGGAAAGUUUCGGCGGUUGGGGUUGGACUCGCGGCUUCUGAGCGUGUUGGUGGGGUUGUGGCUGACCAAGGCUAUGACGGGUAGCCGGCCUGAGCGGGUGACCGGCCACACUGGGACUGAGAUACGGCACAGACUCCUACGGGAGGCAGCAGUGGGGAAUAUUGCACAAUGGGCGGAAGCCUGAUGCAGCAACGCCGCGUGCGGGAUGACGGCCUUCGGGUUGUAAACCACUUUCACUUGUGACGAAGCGUGAGUGACGGUACCGGGUGAAGAAGCACCGGCUAACUACGUG
Molecule: ribosomal RNA, 468 nt
Filed under: uncultured bacterium
Lineage: Bacteria
Description: partial 16S ribosomal RNA
Rfam family: Bacterial small subunit ribosomal RNA
Source: RNAcentral